Molecule: ribosomal RNA, 159 nt
Filed under: Cyclocybe aegerita
Lineage: Eukaryota; Fungi; Basidiomycota; Agaricomycetes; Agaricales; Hemipholiotaceae
Description: 5.8S ribosomal RNA
Rfam family: 5.8S ribosomal RNA (bases 1-120)
About the family: 5.8S ribosomal RNA (5.8S rRNA) is a component of the large subunit of the eukaryotic ribosome. It is transcribed by RNA polymerase I as part of the 45S precursor that also contains 18S and 28S rRNA.
Source: RNAcentral
GAUGAAGAACGCAGGCUAUUGCGAUAAGUAAUGUGAAAAGCAGAAUUCAGUGAAUCAUCGAAUCUUUGAACGCACGUUGCGCUCCUUGGUAUUCCGAGGAGCAUGCCUGUUUGAGUGUCAUUACAUUCUCAACCAUUGGAUUUGUUUUCGAUGGGUUGG